This 436-nucleotide ribosomal RNA is filed under the name uncultured Oscillospiraceae bacterium. RNAcentral describes it as "partial 16S ribosomal RNA". It matches the Rfam family "Bacterial small subunit ribosomal RNA", at positions 341 to 792 of the family's 1533-position model. Lineage: Bacteria; Bacillati; Bacillota; Clostridia; Eubacteriales; Oscillospiraceae. The record is from RNAcentral.
ACGGAAGGCAGCAGUGGGGAAUAUUGGGCAAUGGACGAAAGUCUGACCCAGCGACGCCGCGUGAAGGAAGACGGUCUUCGGAUUGUAAACUUCUUUUAUAUGGGACGAACAAAUGACGGUACCAUAUGAAUAAGCCACGGCUAACUACGUGCCAGCAGCCGCGGUAAUACGUAGGUGGCGAGCGUUAUCCGGAUUUACUGGGUGUAAAGGGUGUGUAGGCGGGAUUGCAAGUCAGAUGUGAAAACUAUGGGCUUAACUCAUAGCCUGCAUUUGAAACUGUAGUUCUUGAGGGUCGGAGAGGUAACUGGAACUCCUAGUGUAGCGGUGAAAUGCGCAGAUAUUAGGAAGAACACCGGUGGCGAAGGCGGGUUACUGGACGAUUACUGACGCUGAGACACGAAAGUGUGGGGAGCAAACAGGAUUAGAUACCCUGGUA